Molecule: transfer RNA, 56 nt
Filed under: Triticum aestivum (bread wheat)
Lineage: Eukaryota; Viridiplantae; Streptophyta; Magnoliopsida; Poales; Poaceae
Rfam family: tRNA
About the family: Transfer RNA (tRNA) molecules are approximately 80 nucleotides in length. Their secondary structure includes four short double-helical elements and three loops (D, anti-codon, and T loops).
Source: Rfam by way of RNAcentral
GCUCAGUGGGUAAAGCACAAGGCUCUUAACUUUGUGGACGUGGAUUCAAGUCCCAU